This 67-nucleotide small RNA is filed under the name Bacillus sp. OxB-1. RNAcentral describes it as "Bacillaceae-1 RNA". It matches the Rfam family "Bacillaceae-1 RNA". The record is from Rfam by way of RNAcentral. Lineage: Bacteria; Bacillati; Bacillota; Bacilli; Caryophanales; Bacillaceae.
ACUAAAAGUUCGCAGUCUAAGUUCGCCGCGUCGUGCGGCAACGACUGCAUGACCUACAUCCUGUAGG